ACGAACCUGACAAACGUUAUUCGGAAUUACUGGGCUUAAAGGGUGCGUAGGCGGCGUGGCAAGUUGGGUGUGAAAUCCCUCGGCUCAACCGAGGAACUGCGCUCAAUACUGCCAUGCUCGAGGGAGACAGAGGUGAGCGGAACUUAGGGUGGAGCGGUGAAAUGCGUUGAUAUCCUAAGGAACACCGGUAGCGAAAGCGGCUCACUGGGUCUUUUCUGACGCUGAGGCACGAAAGCUAGGGUAGCGAACGGGAUUAGAUACCCCGGUAGUCCUAGCCUUAAACGAUGAGCACUUGAUUGGAGGGUCCUCCAUAGCCCUCCAGUCGUAGCGAAAGUGUUAAGUGCUCCGCCUGGGGAGUAUGGUCGCAAGGCUG
This 373-nucleotide ribosomal RNA is filed under the name uncultured bacterium. RNAcentral describes it as "bacterial SSU rRNA". It matches the Rfam family "Bacterial small subunit ribosomal RNA", at positions 525 to 896 of the family's 1533-position model. The record is from RNAcentral.